Molecule: long non-coding RNA, 256 nt
Filed under: Elaeis guineensis (African oil palm)
Lineage: Eukaryota; Viridiplantae; Streptophyta; Magnoliopsida; Arecales; Arecaceae
Description: long non-coding RNA (EGUI_LNC046169)
Source: RNAcentral
CCUUAAGGAUAUUGUGUAUUGGGCUUCGAGUUUGAUCUCAUCAAAUCUGGUUCAGAUUCAAUCAUUGGUAUUAGUUCUUCUACCUGUCGAACUUCAUCAAGCUUGAUUUUAGAGGUACUUAUUCCUUCAUUAAGGAACUCUUUUUUCAACAAAUGUACCUUACUGCUGACAAAUACCUUUUAUUCAGCAAGCAGAUAAAAAUAAUAUCUCUUCAUUUCUUUGGGGUAUCCUAUGAAAUUAUAUUUACCAGAUCUAG